UCAAGUUAUUAAGGGUGCAGGGCGGAUGCCUUGGCACUAGGAGCCGAUGAAGGACGUGAUAAGCUGCGAUAAGCUUCGGGGAGUUGCACGUAAACUUUGAUCCGAAGAUUUCCGAAUGAGGAAACUCACUUAGAGUAAUGUCUAAGUAUCAUUAAGUGAAUACAUAGCUUAAUGAGGGGAACUCAGGGAACUGAAACAUCUAAGUACCUGAAGGAAGAGAAAGAAAUUCGAUUCCGUAAGUAGCGGCGAGCGAACGCGGAUUAGCCCAAACCAAUAAAGUUUUCUUUAUUGGGGUUGCGGACAUAUCAUAACGAAGAGGUAUCGUAAUUGAAGAGGUUUGGAAAGACCCACCACAGAAGGUAAUAGUCCUGUAUGUUAAACGAGAAGACUUCAGAUAUGAUCCAGAGUACCACGGGACACGUGAAACCCUGUGGGAAGCAGGAGGGACCACCCUCCAAGGCUAAAUACUACCUAGUGACCGAUAGCGUAUAGUACCGUGAGGGAAAGGUGAAAAGAACCCCGGGAGGGGAGUGAAAUAGAACCUGAAACCCUGCACUUACAAGCUGUGGAAGCACAUUUCUUGUGUGACCGCGUACUUUUUGUAGAACGGGCCAACGAGUUACGUUAAGUAGCAAGGUUAAGCACUUAAGGUGCGGAGCCGUAGCGAAAGCGAGUUUUAACUGAGCGUUCAGUUACUUGACGUAGACCCGAAACCGGGCGACCUACCCAUGAGCAGGAUGAAGCGAAAGUAAAAUUUCGUGGAGGUCCGAACCCACGAGCGUUGAAAAGCUCGGGGAUGACUUGUGGGUAGCGGUGAAAUUCCAAUCGAGCCCGGAGAUAGCUGGUUCUCCCCGAAAUAGCUUUAGGGCUAGCCUCAAGGUGAGAGAUACGGAGGUAGAGCACUGAAUGUCCUAGGGGGUAUUGCACCUACCGAAGACUAUCAAACUCCGAAUGCCGUCAUCUUAUACUUGGGAGUCAGACUGUGGGUGAUAAGAUUCAUAGUCGAAAGGGCAACAGCCCAGAUCGUCAGCUAAGGUCCCUAAAUGUAAGUUAAGUGGUAAAGGAUGUGGGAUUGCACAGACAACCAGGAUGUUGGCUUAGAAGCAGCCACUCAUUCAAAGAGUGCGUAAUAGCUCACUGGUCGAGUGAUCCUGCGCCGAAGAUUUCCGGGGCUAAAACUUACUACCGAAGCUACGGCAUCAUUAUGAUGGGUAGGGGAGCUUCCCAUACGGGUUGAAGCAUGACCGUAAGGACAUGUGGACAGUAUGGGAGUGAGAAUGUUGGCAUGAGUAGCGAGAUGUGGGUGAGAAUCCCACAGGCCGUAAACCCAAGGUUUCCAGGGGAAGGUUCGUCCGCCCUGGGUUAGUCGGGACCUAAGCUGAGGCCGAAAGGCGUAGGUGAUGGACAACAGGUUGAUAUUCCUGUACUACCGAUAACCGUUUGAGAGAAGGGAUGACACAGUAGGAUAAGCUAAGCACACUGUUGGUUAUGUGUGCCCAAGCAUUGAGGCAGUCAAAGCAGGCAAAUCCGCUUUGAUAAUGCUGGGAUGUGAUGGGGAGCGAAAUUUAGUAGCGAAGUAGCUGAUUUCACACUGUCAAGAAAAGUCUCUAUCGAGGUUAAAGGUACCCGUACCGCAAACCGACACAGGUGGGUGAGGAGAGUAUCCUAAGGCCAGCGAGAGAACUGUUGUUAAGGAACUCGGCAAAAUGACCCCGUAACUUAGGGAUAAGGGGUGCCACCAUCCGGUGGCCGCAGAGAAUAGGCCCAAGCGACUGUUUACCAAAAACAUAGGUUUCUGCUAAGUCGCAAGACGAUGUAUAGGAGCUGACGCCUGCCCGGUGCUGGAAGGUUAAGGGGAUCUGUUAGAGCAAUCGAAGCAGUGAACUUAAGCCCCAGUAAACGGCGGCCGUAACUAUAACGGUCCUAAGGUAGCGAAAUUCCUUGUCGGGUAAGUUCCGACCCGCACGAAAGGCGUAACGAUUUGGGCACUGUCUCAACAACAGACUCGGUGAAAUUGUAAUUCCGGUGAAGAUGCCGGAUACCUGCGACAGGACGGAAAGACCCCAUGGAGCUUUACUGUAGCUUGACAUUGGGUCUUGGUACUACAUGUACAGGAUAGGUGGGAGGCUUUGAAACCAGGACGCCAGUUUUGGCGGAGCCAUCCUUGGGAUACCACCCUUGUAGUACUGGGACUCUAACCAUAGGCCAUGAAUCUGGUCUUGGGACACUGUCAGGUGGGCAGUUUGACUGGGGCGGUCGCCUCCCAAAAGGUAACGGAGGCGCUCAAAGGUUCUCUCAGUACGGUCGGAAAUCGUACGUAGAGUGUAAAGGCAAAAGAGAGCUUGAUUGCAAGACAUACAGGUCGAGCAAGGAUGAAAAUCGGACUUAGUGAUCCGGUGGUUCUGCGUGGAAGGGCCAUCGCUCAACGGAUAAAAGCUACCCUGGGGAUAACAGGCUUAUCUCCCCCAAGAGUCCACAUCGACGGGGAGGUUUGGCACCUCGAUGUCGGCUCAUCACAUCCUGGGGCUGUAGUAGGUCCCAAGGGUUGGGCUGUUCGCCCAUUAAAGUGGUACGCGAGCUGGGUUCAGAACGUCGUGAGACAGUUCGGUCCCUAUCCGUCGCAGGCGUAGGAAAUUUGAGAAGACCUGUCCUUAGUACGAGAGGACCGGGAUGGACGUACCUCUGGUGUACCAGUUGUCCUGCCAAGGGCAUGGCUGGGUAGCUAUGUACGGAAUGGAUAAGCGCUGAAAGCAUCUAAGCGCGAAGCCAACUUCAAGAUAAGAUUUCCCACCGCAAGGGUAAGACCCCAGAAAGACUAUCUGGUUGAUAGGUCGAAGGUGUAAGUGCAGCAAUGUAUUUAGCUUAUCGAUACUAAUAGGUCGAGGACUUGACCAA
This 2895-nucleotide ribosomal RNA is filed under the name Clostridioides difficile. RNAcentral describes it as "bacterial LSU rRNA". It matches the Rfam family "Bacterial large subunit ribosomal RNA". Lineage: Bacteria; Bacillati; Bacillota; Clostridia; Peptostreptococcales; Peptostreptococcaceae. The record is from RNAcentral.